GCCGCCUUAGCUCAGUGGUAGAGCAAUCGCUUCGUAAGCGAUGGGUCGACGGUUCAAAUCCGUCAGGCGGCU
This 72-nucleotide transfer RNA is filed under the name Candidatus Roizmanbacteria bacterium RIFCSPHIGHO2_01_FULL_39_12b. RNAcentral describes it as "tRNA-Thr". It matches the Rfam family "tRNA". Rfam says of the family: Transfer RNA (tRNA) molecules are approximately 80 nucleotides in length. Their secondary structure includes four short double-helical elements and three loops (D, anti-codon, and T loops). RNAcentral also lists the same sequence under 1 other name. The record is from RNAcentral. Lineage: Bacteria; Candidatus Roizmaniibacteriota.